Molecule: transfer RNA, 77 nt
Filed under: Tenacibaculum sp. SZ-18
Lineage: Bacteria; Pseudomonadati; Bacteroidota; Flavobacteriia; Flavobacteriales; Flavobacteriaceae
Also listed under: 7 other names
Description: tRNA-Thr
Rfam family: tRNA
About the family: Transfer RNA (tRNA) molecules are approximately 80 nucleotides in length. Their secondary structure includes four short double-helical elements and three loops (D, anti-codon, and T loops).
Source: RNAcentral
GCCGAUAUAGCUCAGCUGGCUAGAGCAGCUGAUUUGUAAUCAGCAGGUCGUGGGUUCGAGUCCCUCUAUCGGCUCUA